GAGGAUAUAGUUCAGUGGUAGAGUGUGUGCUUGGCAUGCAUGAGGUCCUGGGUUCAAUCCUCAGUACCCCA
This 71-nucleotide transfer RNA is filed under the name Camelus bactrianus (Bactrian camel). It matches the Rfam family "tRNA". From Rfam's summary of the family: Transfer RNA (tRNA) molecules are approximately 80 nucleotides in length. Their secondary structure includes four short double-helical elements and three loops (D, anti-codon, and T loops). Further hydrogen bonds mediate the characteristic L-shaped molecular structure. tRNAs have two regions of fundamental functional importance: the anti-codon, which is responsible for specific mRNA codon recognition, and the 3' end, to which the tRNAs corresponding amino acid is attached (by aminoacyl-tRNA synthetases). tRNAs cope with the degeneracy of the genetic code in two manners: having more than one tRNA (with a specific anti-codon) for a particular amino acid; and 'wobble' base-pairing, i.e. permitting non-standard base-pairing at the 3rd anti-codon position. RNAcentral also lists the same sequence under 2 other names. The record is from Rfam by way of RNAcentral. Lineage: Eukaryota; Metazoa; Chordata; Mammalia; Artiodactyla; Camelidae.